UAAUACGUAGGGUGCAAGCGUUGUCCGGAAUUAUUGGGCGUAAAGAGCUCGUAGGCGGCUUGUCACGUCUGCUGUGAAAACUCGGGGCUCAACCCCGAGCCUGCAGUGGAUACGGGCUAGCUAGAGUGCGGUAGGGGAGACUGGAAUUCCUGGUGUAGCGGUGAAAUGCGCAGAUAUCAGGAGGAACACCGGUGGCGAAGGCGGGUCUCUGGACCGAUACUGACGCUGAGGAGCGAAAGCGUGGGGAGCGAACAGGAUUAGAUACCCUGGUAGUCCACGCCGUAAACGUUGGGCGCUAGGUGUGGGGAACUUUCCACGUUCUCCGUGCCGCAGCUAACGCAUUAAGCGCCCCGCCUGGGGAGUACGGCCGCAAGGCUA
This 378-nucleotide ribosomal RNA is filed under the name uncultured bacterium. RNAcentral describes it as "bacterial SSU rRNA". It matches the Rfam family "Bacterial small subunit ribosomal RNA", at positions 521 to 896 of the family's 1533-position model. The record is from RNAcentral.